CAUAUAAUCCUAAGCUCCUUUAAUAGGUGAUACCACAUCAAAGCAUAAUUAACAACUUUUGAUAACUAAAAAUUUAUCAAUUUACUUAAACUGCAUUCUCAAUGGAAAUCAUAACUUAUUGUGCCCUUGUUGCAAAGCAGACUUGCAGUGACAAAUUUCAUGGCAAAGAAAGAAAGGAACUUCAACAAAUCAUAGUUAUCAUCUUUUGUUCGUAUUGCGUCUUGAGUGUACCUUCUGAUAUAUAUGCACAAUAUCCAAUAUGGUAAAUGUGAGAAACAGAUGUACAUACUUGUUUGUUAUUUUUUGAUAUGCAAAGAGAAAAAAUAUAUAUUCAAAAGGGGUCUAACAAAAGGGAGUGCACACAUGUACACAGGGGGAAUACAUAGAACAACGACAACAUCACUAGCACCACACAUUAAGUACCCACGCAAUCAAAAGAAGUCAAGAAUGGAAACCAAACUACAAUAGGAAUCUACAUUAAACCAAGAGAACAAUGUAUUUACAAAUAGGUCCCUCCAAAACUGCUUCUGAGCUCUACACCAUCAAAACACCACAUAUUAUGCUCCAUCCAAAGGGACCAGAAGAGGCAAAGAGGAACCAUCCUCCAAAAACUCUUUUUACUCUCCCCCAUAGAAUGCCCAUGCCAACCCAGAGUAGUCUAUUGUUAAUAGCUUUGUAGAAAAAGAAAAUUUUAAGUUUUCUUCCUUAAAUUAUUACCAUGUUAUUAUAUAAAAGGUAUUUUUAAGGUUCAAAGAAGAUGACAAGAAGGAAAGGGAGAGAAUGAUCUCACAUGAAAACAUAGCGACAAAUGUUUUUCAGUGUGCAUGAAAAAUUGAAUCUCAAGCAUUAGUGGAGGUGUUAAUCAAGUGAAAAAUAUAAUUUAUUGAACAUUCUAUCCUAACCAUGAUGUUUAACAAAAUAUUAUUGAACAAUGCUAAAUAUUAUUGAACAUUUAGCAAAAUAGUUGGUUCAACUUGGUUCCCAGGUCAAAACAGGAGCUUUUUGGCCUGUUCACUAUCACUUCACAUGGUAAAUUUUUUUUUUUUGAUAAGUAAACAAGAUAUUCAUUAGAAAAGGCUAAACGCCAUAAAGCAUACAGGGAGUAUACAAAACGGCUAAAGCCUCAAAAAAAGGAAAAGGACCAAAAAGAAACUACCUCCCCUUAAGUGGAAGCAAUCCACUCCAAAAAGCCUAUGAGGGAGAAAGACUCCUCACCUAAAUACACUUUGGCCCAAUUCCACAAGUUACAGACAAAAGAAUUCUUUAAUUUCUGAAUAUUCAACUCACCCCCCCUAAAGGCUAACCUAUUCCUCUCCUUCCAAACCGUCCAAAAAAUACAUAACGGAAUGGAUUUCCAAAUCCUUUUCCUUUUCUUCCCUACAAAUGAGCCCCUCCAGGAUAUUAAAGCCUCCUUUACAGUUUCUGGGUGGACCCACUUAACAUCUAUCAACCCAAAAAUAAUUUCCCAUAGGGCUCUAGUCACUAUACAGUGUAAAAGUAUAUGAUGUACAUUCUCUUCUUCGCAACCACACAAAUAGCAGCAAUUAGGGAGUUGCACCCCUCUUAACUGGAGUCUAUCCAGGGUAAGCACCUUCCCCCACGUAGCCUCCCAAGCAAAAAAACAGACUUUUGUUGGCACCCUAUCCACCCAUAUUUUCCUUGCGGGAAAAACUAUGGCAUUAGGCUUGUCUAGCAGCCUGUAGGCUUCUUUGAUUUUGAAAAUACCAUUUCUUCCCUGCCUCCACACAACUGAGUCAUCCUCCAGAGAGGGCCUUUGACCCCUCAAAGUAUGAAGCAGCUCCCCAACCAUAUCCAUCUCCCAAUCAUUGAAGUCCCUCACAAAAACAAGCUUCCAAUCUCCUUGGCCCGCAUCAUGAUCCCACAUCUCCUCAAUCGUAGCAUCCCUAUGCACGGCAAGGACAAAGAGUUGAUUGAAGCCUUGGGACAACGGAGUGUCUGUGCACCAACAAUCUUUCCAAAACUUGAUUUUGGAACCCUUCCCAACCCUAAAUGCCAAAUUAUCCCAACACCAAUCGUCUUCCUUCAUGAUCUCCUUCCAGACCCCUACUCCAGCCGGCCCACGGACCUUCUUUGGCCUCCAACCAUAAUCCUCUUGCCCAUAUUUUGUAGUGAUCACUUGAUUCCAAAAGUUAUUCUUUUCACAAGCAAACCUCCAAAUCCACUUGCCCAGCAAGGCUCUAUUCAAAGUGGCUAUUCUCCUUAAUCCCAGCCCUCCCUUGUGUUUUUCUGUACAGACCGCAUCCCAUUUGACUAGGUGAACUUUUCCUUCCAAGUUUCCUCCCCCCCAAAGGAAAUCUCUUUGUGUUUUUUCCACUCUUUUGGCAACAGACUUGGGCAUCCGGAAAAUAGACAUUUGGUAAGUUGGCAAACUAGCCAAGGUGCUUUUUAUGAGAGUGAUUCUCCCCCCUUUGGAUAUGUACUGUCUCUUCCAAAGCGCAAGUCUCCUCCUGAUCCUUUCUUCCACUCCAUCCCACAUAGAUGUAGCCCUGUUGGGGACCCCUAAGGGAAGGCCCAAAUAAUGAGAGGGCAAAGACCCCACCCUGCACCCUAAUUCAGCUGCCAACUCAAGAGAAUCCUCCACUUCUCCAAUUGGGAUGAUUUCGCUUUUGGCUAGAUUAAUCCGAAGACCCGAAGCCGCUUCAAACCAAAAGAGAAUCCAACUUAGGUGGGAAACUUGCUCUUUGCUCGCCUCACAAAACACAAUUGUGUCAUCAGCGAAAAAUAGGUGGGAGAUAUUCAAGGAUGUUCUACUACCGCCCUGAAUAUUGCACCCUGAAAGAUAGCCCCCCUCCACCGCUCUCCUGAUAAGGACGUCCAGGACCUCCAUGCCCAUAACAAAGAGGUAAGGGGAUAGGGGGUCCCCUUGACGAAGCCCUCUAGUACUAGGGAAGAAACCAGCUGGCACUCCAUUAACAAGAAUGGAAAAUUUAGCAGAGGAGACACAACUCCACAUCCAUCUCAUCCAUUUGGUCCCAAAGCCCAUUUUUUUAAGGACCUUCAUUAAGAAAUUCCAAUUGAUGCUAUCGUAAGCUUUUUCUAUGUCCAAUUUGCAAACAAGGCCCUUUUCUUUUUUCUUCUGCCACGAGUCUAUCACCUCAUUCGCAAUUAAAGACGCAUCCAGAAUUUGUCUUCCCAUAACAAAGGCAUUCUGAGCAUAAGACACCACCUUACCAAUCACUUUUUUGAGCCUAUUAGCUAAGACUUUAGCCAAAAGUUUAUAGAGCCCCCCCACCAGGCUGAUAGGUCUAAAGUCUCCAAGAUUCUCCGCCCCGCUUUUCUUAGGAAUCAACACCAAGAAGGUAUUGUUAAGGCUCUUAACAAAGGAAUUAUGCUCAUGAAAUUCUUUAAACAUCUCCAUGAUCUCCUCUUUGGCAAAGUCCCAUGCGUUUUGCCAAAAAGCAACAGUAAAGCCAUCCGGGCCAGGGGAUUUAUCCCCAUUCAUCUCCAUCAAAGCCGAGUGAAUCUCAGUCUCUGCAAAUGGGGUUUCCAGACUCUCUGCUUCUUGCUGGCUGAUGCAAUUCAACUGAAUGCUACCAAUAUCCGCCUGCCAACCCAUAUCUUCAGAAAGCAAUUGCUGCAACGAGUUCACAACACCUUCUCUCACCUCCUGCUCCUCUACUAGCCACUCCCCAUUAACCUUAAUUCUGUCCAUAGCGUUGUUUCUUCGAUGUGCACUAGCCAUUCUAUGGAAAAACCCCGUAUUUCUAUCCCCGUCCUUCAGCCAAAUCUCCCUUGAAUGCUGUCUCCAAUGGGCUUCCUCCAACAGGACCCAUUUCUUAAAGGAAUCUUUAGCUUCCUUUUUUAAUUCAGCUUCCUCCAUAGAUAAGAUUCUCUCACUUUCCACCCGAUCCCAAAAAUCUAAUUGAUAUAAGGCUGAAGCUUUGUUAGUUUCCAGCCUCCCAAAAACCUCUUUGUUCCACACUUUCAGCUUCUUUUUAAUUUCCUUCAUUUUAACUGCCAAUCUAUAGCUAGCGCUGCCCCUGACUUCAAUUUCUUGCCACCAGGUUCUAAUAAUGUCAUUAAAUCCCUCAACCUUAAGCCACAUAUUUUCGAAUCUAAACGGGGUUGGGCCUCUUCUUACACCACCCCCCUCUAGCACGAUUGGAAAAUGGUCAGAAGUGGGACGAGAUAACCUGCCCUGAGUGACUCCACUGAACUGAUCUAACCAGCUAGGGGAGACUAGAAAUCUAUCUAGCCUCGCCCACGCCUGAUUAUUCAGCCCCCCACUCCAUGUGAACUCUCCCCCCUGCAGGGGCAAAUCCACCAGCUCUAGAUCAUCCACAAUUUGAGCAAAUCUCCGCAUGGCUGAGCUGAUUCUUCUUUGGCUGCUCCUUUCGUGUUGAAACAGAGUAAUAUUAAAAUCCCCACCGAGACACCAGGGAUCGCCCCACAGUCCCCUUAUUGCCCCAAGUUCUUCCCACAUACCCUCCCUUUCCACUUUGGUAAAAGGGCCAUACACACCCGUAAAAACCCAGAUAGCCCCAUUUUCUGUGAUCUUGAAUCUACAAGACAAGGAAAACUAACCCUCCUCCCAAUCCAGAAUUUCCAGAACCCGCUUAUCCCAGCAUAUCAAAAUGCCACCCGCAGCCCCUUCCGCAUUUCGGGCUCUCCAAUCUGAGAAUCUCCCCAAUCCCAAACUUCUCACAAUACCCUCCGACAUCUCCUAAAUCUUGGUUUCCUGAAUACACAUUAGGUCCACCCUCUGGUUCCUUAUAUAGUUUUUGAUAAUUUUCCUCUUUGAGCUGUCAUUAGCUCCCCUCACAUUCCAGGUAAUGAUCUUCAUCCUCAUUGGGCAACUAUCAACUGGUUCCCUUUGCCCUGUGAAGGACCUUUCUGCCUAUUCCCCCCCUCGUAAUUAACGGAACAUUCCAGCCUCUUCAGCUCCCUUUCAAACUUGGACUUUUCCAAAAGUUCUUUGCUGUGAAUCUUUUCCCGUCUCUUUCUGAUUUUAAUCAAGAAGCUCAAUAUCUCCUUUUCCAGUCCCUCUGUAGAGAAUCCCAGGAAUUGACUAAAUUUUGCUAGACUGCAUUCCUCCCAAGGAUCCUCUUUCUCGUUUUCACUAUCUUGAGAAGCAGAGCCACCAUUGUUCCCCUCCUUAUCCUUAGCCUUGUCUCUGUUCUUGCUGUCCUCUCCCAACUUCCAGAAACCAUUUUCGUUUUCAACAUUCCCCUCAUAUACUGUUAACCAAGUGGACAUAUCCCCCCUUAAUUCCUCCUCAAUACCCCCUGGGUGAUCGAAAGACUCCCCCUCCGGAGCCCGAUCAGAAUUAGAGAAGAGAAGAAGAGGUGUUCCCACAGCCCUUUUACCUUUAGGAUAGGGAUUUAAAGCAUACCUUUUAACUUCCUCUUCCAGCGCUCGGUCAGUCAUUGAAAGACCAACAUCCCCUUGUUCCCUUCUAGGCUCCUCUAUCACCCAGCUUAUCAAAGGAUCCUCUGAAUUGGGUCCUUUUCUGGAGCUAAAGCGACCCAGAAUGCCAGCCUUCUCUAAUGGAGCAAUUGGGCCCUCCCUUUCCGGACCUUCCACCUCAGUUAGUUGAUUGCAGCCCAUUUCAGCAGCCCAACUUGGGCCUGCCUCUGAAUAGUCAUUCACUUUAGGCUUGUUUUUUAACUUUCGGCCCAGCAGCCCAUCCAUUUUGUUCAGCCCACCAUCCUUCUUUAACCCACUAAGGCCCAUAUUUGGGCCACUUGCAGCCGGCCCAGCCAUUCUACCAAUUGGAGAGGCCCAAUCCCGAUUCUCUUGGCCCUGGAACUGUAACCCGGGUGCAGGACCCGGCCCAUUCUCCUGCAAAUCACUCCCAUCAACUGGCGUCUGCAGUUCCUCGAUUCCCGCACCUACCAACUCCUUUCCCACGCGCUUCUCCGCGCGUGAAUGCAACUCACCCCUGACCUCCUUAUUCCUCCUGUUUUCCGUCGCAGAGAAGGGCCGUUUCACCACCAGCCUGAUCUCCCACCAUAAAGCCACAGAGUAUAUCUCAUCCUCUACCUCAAUUUCUAACAAGCUCGGUCUGAAAUCGCCUUUUGUUUUAACCAAAAUCCUAGCCCAUUGAAUCUCCCCCAUCGAUCUUGUGCGCUCAUCCAUAUCUACGAAGCCCCCACAUUCCUCCCCUAUUUUCUUCAAAGUCCCCGGGCUCCAGAGCGAGAUUGGGAGGCCGUAUAUUCUAACCCAAGCUAUCUGCUCCAUCUCCUUCUCUACCCGACAUCCCGUCUUUGGAUUCCAUAACUCCAGCCCUAAAUGGGCUCCUCCCAGCAGUCUGCUCCCCGAGGAGGCCACACGGCGUGCCUCACUUAGAUCUUCAAACUCCAACAAAGCCUUACCUCGUUCCAAUUUGGCCAACCCUAGCUUGCCUUUUAGUCCCCAAGAAUUCGCCCAGAGACUACCCAAUCUCUCCAAGUCGUCUUCCUCCUCUUUUUCGGACUUCCAGCUCACGACGAGGCAAUGCUCCAGCUUCUGUAAGUUGCCAGCAAUCUCCUCCCUUGUAACCCUCAUCUUGAUUGCGUUUAGGCCAUCCCAAUUGGUCCUUCUGACGGCUUCUACGUAUGAUUUCGCCGGAUUAGCUCUUCCGACAGUCCUUACCUCCUGCACCUCUGUUCUUCUACCGGCCAUCUCUUCCAUUUGACGUACCAUCUCCACCAUAGCCGUCCACCCUCUUUUGCCCCUUCUCCCUCUCGGUAAGAAUAUGCAAAACCUCUUUCGUUCCAGACCCACAACCCCCAAUCUUAGAUAAACACCCGCUCUGUUGAAACCCCGAGCCAAGGUAUACAGCUUACCUCCUUCUUUCCAUUCCUUUUCCCAUCGCCCUUCUUCAUCGUCACGAAUACAAUGGAUUAAUCCCUCCUUGAAAAGCCCUAAGCUUUCCAGCCCUAAUCGAACCCAUGUCGAGACCCCACGUUUCUUCUCCACAAUGCGAAACUGGCGUUUCCCUUUCCUAUCAUCCAGGGCAAGUUCGAAGGUCUUGGAUUCCACCGUGAAGCUUCGCCGUCGGCUCGCCUCGCCGGUCUCCUCGUCGUCGCCGUCGCACGCGCUCUCACGCUCCCUCUCGCCCUCUCUCUCUCUUUCGCUCUCUCUCUCUCUCUCUCCCAUUUUUUACGAUUGCAAAAGCCUCACAUGGUAAAUGAAGAAGCCUGAAUGUCUUGGGACCAAGAGGAGACCUAGAAUUCAUCUGCAGGCAUCCCCAUUUUGACCUGGCAUGCACACCCUCUCUUUCUCCUUCUCUUCCCCCCUCCCUCCAAUCACUUUGAAACCUAUUUCAUCCUUCACACUAUCGAACUCACAUCCAUCCCCUACCCUUAAUAGCUAUGAUAACUCUGAAGUUCACAACCACCAGCGCGCCCCCCCACCAAAGGAGCAGAAGAAAGAAAGAGAUGGGAGGAAAAGGAACAUGCUAAUGAUGAAUCCUUGAUAGCAAAUAUCAGAGAAGUGCUUCUUUGGGGUUAUUUUAAGGUUUGGAAUAUGUGCACCCUCUUUUGAAGUGUUGUUACACACUCAAACCCCAAUUUCAUCAAUUUACAUUGAUCCCCACAGAUCAUGACCUCAGGCAAAAAUUGUUCUUCCUGCUAGUGAAACAUUAGCCUAUGUUAAGAAUGCUUUAACAACUGCAAUAUUUGCCCUCUAUCAAGAUGCAACCCAACUUGCACAAGGCCAAUCACCUCUCCUACCUCCCAUUGAUCAGACCCCUCAUAAUAGUGUUUCUAACUGAAACUCCAAAAGUAGGCCCUAGAAACAUCCAUAUAAAUAACAAUUAUGGAUCCCUGGUUCACCUGAAUCACAUCUAAUCCACAGGUGAGGCACCUCCCCAACAUCAAAACUUAGCCUUUCCCUAUCUCUGCUCUUUUUUUAAUAGGAUCCUAGCUUUUUUUUCAAGCUCAAUACAAACUCAAAGCAUCUAAAGGAAACUUUUAAUGAUAGAGAACCAUAAAAUAUUCAUUUAGAGAUGGGAUCAAAGCAUAAAAGGUUAUAAUUUCUGAUAACUAAAAACCAGUAGAUAAAGACAUAUUAGGAGUAUAACUGUUUCUCCCAGGGCGAUGAGUAGAAGGGAUCUUAGCAGUUUAGAGGCAUGUAAAAUUAGCAUUCAAU
Molecule: long non-coding RNA, 8094 nt
Filed under: Vitis vinifera (wine grape)
Lineage: Eukaryota; Viridiplantae; Streptophyta; Magnoliopsida; Vitales; Vitaceae
Description: long non-coding RNA (VVIN_LNC006393)
Source: RNAcentral